CCAUUACAGCAAACAUGCGUCCUGUGAUGAUUUUUGCUUUAUUAUUCUUGCUGGUAAUCAAUAUUAGGGGUACAGAGCUCCAUUUAAGGGGUUCUAAAGGUGAUGCUUCCAUACAAGAGAGACAAUGGAAAAAGGGCGACGGAGGUUUGGCUUCAUCACCAGAUAAACGUUUUAAAGGAGGAUUGAACGAUCCAGAAAAAAGAUAUUAUGGAGGUGGAAAAAAAUAAUGAAAAGAAUGGACCACUAUAUCACCAGCUCAAAGUACCCAUGAAUAAGGGAAGAUAAUAUAGUGUGUUACGUGUUUCGUAAUAUGUAUUAGUAUUUAGAUGAACUAAAUAAAUACCAUGAACAUA
Molecule: long non-coding RNA, 353 nt
Organism: Saccoglossus kowalevskii
Lineage: Eukaryota; Metazoa; Hemichordata; Enteropneusta; Harrimaniidae
Source: RefSeq, a predicted model, not a curated record